Molecule: ribosomal RNA, 809 nt
Filed under: uncultured bacterium
Lineage: Bacteria
Description: bacterial SSU rRNA
Rfam family: Bacterial small subunit ribosomal RNA
Source: RNAcentral
AGAGUUUGAUCAUGGCUCAGAACGAACGUUGGCGGCGUGGAUUAGGCAUGCAAGUCGUACGGGAUCCGGGGCAACUCGGGUCUAGUGGCGAACGGGUGAGUAUCGCGUGGGAAACCUGCCCUCGAGAUGGGGAUAACACUCCCAACGGAGUGCUAAUACCGAAUAAGACCACGGAGUCGCAUGGCUCUGCGGUCAAAGGUGGCCUCUACUUGUAAGCUACCACUUGAGGAUGGUCCCGCGUCCCAUUAGCUAGUUGGUAGGGUAAAAGCCUACCAAGGCUACGAUGGGUAGCUGGUCUGAGAGGAUGGUCAGCCACACUGGGACUGAGAUACGGCCCAGACUCCUACGGGAGGCAGCAGUCGAGAGGCUUCGUCAAUGGGGGAAACCCUGAACGAGCGACGCCGCGUGGGCGAUGAAGGCCGUUAGGUUGUAAAGCCCUGUCGAGCGGGAACAAUUGCAGGCGGGUGAACAAUCCGUCUGUUUGAGAGUACCGUUAAAGGAAGCUCCGGCCAACUCCGUGCCAGCAGCCGCGGUAAUACGGGGGGAGCGAACGUUGUUCGGAAUUACUGGGCGUAAAGGGCGUGCAGGCGGCCCUGUAAGAGAGUUGUGAAAUGCCCUGGCUCAACCAGGGAAAUGCACCUCUGACUGCAGGGCUUGAGUAUAGGAGAGGAUGGGGGAAUUCCCGGUGUAGCGGUGAAAUGCAUUGAUAUCGGGAGGAACACCAGUGGCGAAGGCGCCCAUCUGGCCUAAUACUGACGCUCAGGCGCGAAAGCUAGGGGAGCAAACAGGAUUAGAUACCCUGGUAGUCC